This 305-nucleotide unclassified non-coding RNA is filed under the name plant metagenome. Its description in RNAcentral is "partial contains 5.8S ribosomal RNA, internal transcribed spacer 2, and large subunit ribosomal RNA". The stretch from base 1 to 105 matches the Rfam family "5.8S ribosomal RNA", at positions 50 to 154 of the family's 154-position model. The record is from RNAcentral.
GAAAUGCGAUAAGUAAUGUGAAUUGCAGAAUUCAGCGAAUCAUCGAAUCUUUGAACGCACAUUGCGCCCGCCAGUAUUCUGGCGGGCAUGCCUGUUCGAGCGUCAUUUCAACCAUCAAGCCCCCGGCUUGUGUUGGGGACCUGCGGCUGCCCACAGGCCCUGAAAAACAGUGGCGGGCUCGCUGUCACACCGAGCGUAGUAGCAUACAUUCUCGCUCAGGGCGUGCUGCGGGUUCCGGCCGUUAAACGACCUUCAUAACCCAAGGUUGACCUCGGAUCAGGUAGGAAGACCCGCUGAACUUAAGC